CGUCAGAUACUGCGGAGAGACAUUAUCUAUUCCAUGAGGUGCGGUCGCGGCCCUCGGCGGGAGCAACAGCUGCCGUCGGGCGGUAGAGGUAACACUUUCACGCGCCGCAUGUCUGAAUCCUUUUUUUACGAGCACCUUUCGUUCUCCUUCGGCGGGGCAACCUGCCGUUGGAACCUAUCAAAACCUUUUUUUUGCAUCUAGCAUUACCUGUUCUGAUACAAACAAUCGUUACAACUUUCAACAAUGGAUCUCUUGGCUCUGGCAUCGAUGAAGAACGCAGCGAAAUGCGAUAAGUAGUGUGAAUUGCAGAAUUCAGUGAAUCAUCGAAUCUUUGAACGCACAUUGCGCCCCUUGGUAUUCCAUGGGGCAUGCCUGUUCGAGCGUCAUCUACACCCUCAAGCUCUGCUUGGUGUUGGGCGUCUGUCCCGCCUCUGCGCGCGGACUCGCCCCAAAUUCAUUGGCAGCGGUCCUUGCCUCCUCUCGCGCAGCACAUUGCGCUUCUCGAGGGGCGCGGCCCGCGUCCACGAAGCAACAUUACCGUCUUUGACCUCGGAUCAGGUAGGGAUACCCGCUGAACUUAAGCAUAUCAUAAGGCGGGAGAAA
Molecule: ribosomal RNA, 603 nt
Filed under: Paraconiothyrium brasiliense
Lineage: Eukaryota; Fungi; Ascomycota; Dothideomycetes; Pleosporales; Didymosphaeriaceae
Description: eukaryotic LSU rRNA
Rfam family: 5.8S ribosomal RNA (bases 233-386)
Source: RNAcentral